This is a non-coding RNA of Dipodomys ordii (Ord's kangaroo rat), 72 nucleotides long. NCBI's taxonomy places the organism in Eukaryota, Metazoa, Chordata, Mammalia, Rodentia, Heteromyidae. The record is from Rfam.
GGGAAGGUGGCUCAGUGGUAGAGCGCUUGCCUUGCAUGCAGGAGGCCCUGGGUUCGAUUGCUCACCACCACA